GAUUCGGAUUGUGGAAAAAUCUGCCUGAGAAGGAGCAAGGCCAGUAGAAGAGGGGCAGGGAGAACGGGCAAAUUUCCCUGUGGGGAGCGGAUCUGGGGACUCGAGGGUUUCCCGGCAGCCGCUCCGCAGGCCGGUCUCCCACGCGUAAGCGCGGCAUGAAGAGAAUCUACUGACCACAUUGUGCUUCCUAUAGCAAUGCAUCCUGUAACCUUUGAGACGGAAGGACAUUGUACUACAGAAUAUUCUGCCACUGAUACAAUUCAUGACAAUAAGUGCUCCCUUUUUUCAGUUUGAAAAAAAAAAUGAAUGUAUUUUUUCUUAAUGGUUUUGAUGUGUAAAGAAUUUAGAUUUUUUUGUUUUGUUUUUUCUCCUGCAGUAUUGUGAAGACUCCCAAGCUAGGCUAGUGGAGAGGCCACUCCCUGGGGGCGGAGUGAAGAACUCAGCCGAAAUCCAAGAUCAAAACCUCCAUGACAUGGCUCCAAUCAAGCUAUCCCAGCGAAGGCCCCCACAUCACGGAGCAGAGAUAAGAAUCCCAGAUUCCUAACCCACACUAUUGUGAGCAAAUUAAAUGGUGACUGUUUUAAGCCAUUUGAUAUGGGGCCAGUAUGCUGUGUAGCAACAGAAACUGAGACAAGCACUAUAUAUCACACAGGUUGCUAAAUAAACAUGUCCCAAAUGUUA
Molecule: long non-coding RNA, 681 nt
Organism: Camelus dromedarius (Arabian camel)
Lineage: Eukaryota; Metazoa; Chordata; Mammalia; Artiodactyla; Camelidae
Exons: 2
Source: RefSeq, a predicted model, not a curated record